UGAGUAACCUGCCCUUAACUCUGGGAUAAGCCUGGGAAACUGGGUCUAAUACCGGAUAUGACUCCUCAUCGCAUGGUGGGGGGUGGAAAGCUUUUUGUGGUUUUGGAUGGACUCGCGGCCUAUCAGCUUGUUGGUGAGGUAAUGGCUCACCAAGGCGACGACGGGUAGCCGGCCCGAGAGGGUGACCGGCCACACUGGGACUGAGACACGGCCCAGACUCCUACGGGAGCAG
RNAcentral lists this ribosomal RNA (232 nucleotides) under uncultured bacterium. RNAcentral's name for it is "partial 16S ribosomal RNA". It matches the Rfam family "Bacterial small subunit ribosomal RNA", at positions 118 to 347 of the family's 1533-position model. The record is from RNAcentral.